Molecule: ribosomal RNA, 255 nt
Filed under: uncultured bacterium
Lineage: Bacteria
Description: partial 16S ribosomal RNA
Rfam family: Bacterial small subunit ribosomal RNA
Source: RNAcentral
UACGGAGGGUGCUAGCGUUGUUCGGAAUUACUGGGCGUAAAGCGCACGUAGGCGGGUUCGUAAGUCGAUUGUGAAAGCCCCGGGCUCAAUCCGGGAAUUGCAGUCGAAACUACGAGUCUUGAAUACCUGAGAGGGUGACGGAAUUCCUGGUGUAGAAGUGAAAUUCGUAGAUAUCAGGAAGGAACACCGGAGGCGAAGGCGGUUGCCUGGCGAGUGUAUUGACGCUGAGGUGCGAAAGCGUGGGGAGCAAACAGG